Pelobates cultripes (western spadefoot toad) is the source of this 240-nucleotide non-coding RNA. The record is from the annotation of a GenBank genome assembly. NCBI's taxonomy places the organism in Eukaryota, Metazoa, Chordata, Amphibia, Anura, Pelobatidae.
CUCCAACUUCCAAUGACUGGAUUAUUACACCAUCAUAAAUGCUUCAGUUGACUACAGGGAAGACCUUCAACAGCUUUUUUAAACCCCUUAAGGACCAAACUUCUGGAAUAAAAUGGACUCAUGACUAGUGAUGCACCGAACGGUUCGCCGGCGAACAGUUCCCGUCGAACAUAGCGUGUUCGCGUCCGCCGCGGAUGGCGAACACAUGCGCGGUUCGCAGACCCUCCCACCUACUGGACA